AUGACGAACAUGGCUUCAACGACGGCGUGCCUUUUAAAGACGGGGUACGGCUCGGCGGUGCGGUACGGCUGUCGGUUACAAAAACCAUUGAAACAGCACCCCAGACAGCACAACCCAUGCUCCCCAAUCGAUUCACAUGCCAUCAGGUCGGCUGAUUGCAAUGGCAAAGAUAGAGCGGAGCAGUCAAGGCUGAGGAAAGAGGAGCAGAGAGCCAAGCGGUGA
RNAcentral lists this ribosomal RNA (222 nucleotides) under Triticum aestivum (bread wheat). RNAcentral describes it as "partial small subunit ribosomal RNA". Lineage: Eukaryota; Viridiplantae; Streptophyta; Magnoliopsida; Poales; Poaceae. The record is from RNAcentral.